GGAAGUGUGGCCGAGCGGUUGAAGGCACCGGUCUUGAAAACCGGCGACCCGAAAGGGUUCCAGAGUUCGAAUCUCUGAGCUUCCGCUA
RNAcentral lists this transfer RNA (88 nucleotides) under Escherichia coli. RNAcentral describes it as "tRNA-Ser". It matches the Rfam family "tRNA". From Rfam's summary of the family: Transfer RNA (tRNA) molecules are approximately 80 nucleotides in length. Their secondary structure includes four short double-helical elements and three loops (D, anti-codon, and T loops). Lineage: Bacteria; Pseudomonadati; Pseudomonadota; Gammaproteobacteria; Enterobacterales; Enterobacteriaceae. The record is from RNAcentral.